RNAcentral lists this ribosomal RNA (253 nucleotides) under uncultured bacterium. Its description in RNAcentral is "partial 16S ribosomal RNA". It matches the Rfam family "Bacterial small subunit ribosomal RNA", at positions 524 to 776 of the family's 1533-position model. The record is from RNAcentral.
UACGUAGGUUGCAAGCGUUGUCCGGAUUUACUGGGCGUAAAGAGCGCGUAGGCGGUCGCUUUAGUCGCGUGUGAAAGCCCCCGGCUCAACUGGGGAGGGUCACUCGAUACUGCUCGACUUGAAGGCAGGAGAGGGAAGCGGAAUUCCCGGUGUAGUGGUGAAAUGCGUAGAUAUCGGGAGGAACACCAGUGGCGAAGGCGACGGCCUGGCCUGUUCUUGACGCUGAGGCGCGAAAGCUAGGGGAGCAAACGGG